This 26917-nucleotide long non-coding RNA is filed under the name Elaeis guineensis (African oil palm). Its description in RNAcentral is "long non-coding RNA (EGUI_LNC039879)". The record is from RNAcentral. Lineage: Eukaryota; Viridiplantae; Streptophyta; Magnoliopsida; Arecales; Arecaceae.
AUUCCAUACUGGGUUUGAGGAUGGUAAUGUGAAUUGAUUUUGAUGCCAAUUUCUUUUGUCUUAUGUCUUAUCCAGUUCAAAUAAAUAAUUGUAGUUCAACGUAGUUUAGCAAUUGGGGUGGUUGUUUUGUUUGCUUCAUAAAACCACACAAAUGGCUGUGGUAACUGACACCUAAAUGCAACAUUGCAAAAGUUCCCAAGAAGUUCUAAAACGAUGAAUCUUAUAAAAUGAAACUCAAACUAAGGUGAGUGCAAGUCACUAGAUAGGAACAGAAUUGGAUAUGUUUGAAGCAAGGUCUGCAAUCUCAGCACGAGUACCAUAUCAGUACCUUAUCGGGACAGUAUAGUAUGCAUCCUGUAUUGAAAUAGCUCUAGCAAUUUUUCUCAAUGUCUCGAUACACCUCAAAACAAGUCGUACACUUGGGUAUAGAUGGUACGCAGCUUAAUACACCUUGAUAUAGAUCGGUACACCUUGAUAUGAGGGUACAAGGCUUAUACUGACUUGAAGUUAGAGUUCGGUAUCAGUUUCAUCCUGGUAUGGUACCCAAUGCCUUGUACUAAGCGGUAUGGGGCAGUACGGCAAACCAUCAUUUGAAGUUUUAGUUAAAAAUGAGAAGAGAUAGUAGAGAGAAAGUAAGAGAGAGUAGAGAGAAUAAUAUGAGAAAGAGUGAUAGGCCUCGAAUCUUAAUUUUCUUCUAACCUAUACCUCUAUUUAUAUUGAUGUUAUUACAUAAAUGCUUACAUUGCAGUCGCUGAUUUUAUUCCCCAAUUACAGCAUUGUAGAUUUUCUUCCUAAACAUAGCUUAUCAAAUAUAUUGGUCAACCACUUCCUAAUUAUAAUAUUACAGAUUUUUUUCCUAAACAUAGCUUACCAAAAAUAUAUUGGUCAAGCAUUCUCUAAUUACAACAUUGCAGAUUUUCUUCCUAAACAUAGCUUAGCAAAAAUAUAUUAGUCAAUACUCCACCUCAAGAUGGUGCAUAGAUAUCUCUCAUGCCCAUCUUGCAAAUAAUCGAAUGAAACACCUUACUACUAAGACCUUUAGUCAAAAUAUCAGCUAGCUGAUUUUCUGAUUUUACAUAAGGUGUACAAAGUAGCCAUUUAUUCAACUUUUCUUUAAUGAAGUGUCUAUCUAUCUCAAUAUGCUUUGCUCUAUCAUGUUGAACUGGAUUAUGAGCAAUAUUGAUAGCAGUUUUGUUAUCACAGUAUAGAAGGAGAGGUCCGCCAUUCUUCAUUCCCAGGACUUGCAUCAAUAUUUUAAGCCAAAAAAGUUCACAAACUCCAUGUGCCAUUGCUCUGUACUUUGCUCCACUGAUUAUUUUUUACUUCUCCAAGUGACUAAGUUCCCUCCAACAAGUGUACAAUAUGCUGAUAUAGACCUCCUAUCAUCAAGUGAUCUAGCCUAAUCAGCAUUUGUAAAAGCUUCUAUUUUCAAGUGACCAUGGUUCAAAAAAAGUAAUCCUUUUUUGGAUGCUAAUUUUAAGUAUCUCAAGAUGCGAAAAAUGAUAUCUAGAUGAGUGGAGUGGGGAGCAUGCAUAAACUGGCUUACCACACUAAUAGGAUAGGAUAAAUCUGGAUGAGUAUAAGAGAGAUAAAUCAAUCUCCUAACUAAUCUUUGAUACCUUCCUUUGUUUACUAUUUCUCCAUCACCACUCUUGAGAUGGUGUUUUGGAUCCAUAGGAGUAUUUGUUGGCUUACAACCCAACAUACCCGUCUCUUUAAGCAAGUCCAAGAUAUAUUUCUUUUGAGAAAUGAAGAUACUGUUGUCUGAUCGAAUAACUUCAAUACCAAGAAAAUAUCGUAGCUUACCCAAAUCUUUUAUUUCCAACUCCUUAGCUAGACUAGCCUUCAAUCUGAUAACUUUUCUAGAGUUAUUUCCUAUCACCACUAUAUUAUCAACAUAUACAAUGAGAACAGUGAUAUUCCCAUUAUUAUGUUUGAUGAACAUUGUUUGAUCUGCAUUACUCUGAUGAUACCCAAAAUUAAUUAUUACUUUGCUGAAUCUGUCAAAUUAAGCUCGCGGGGAUUGUUUGAGACCGUACAAUGAUUUCUUCAACUUACAUACCUUGCCUUCUAUUUUCUGACAAGAAAAACAUGAACGAAUCUCUAUAUAUACUUCUUCCUCUAAGUCCCAUGAAGGCAUUUUUUAUAUCCAAUUGAUGCAAUUUCCAUGCUAGGUUUGCUGCACAAGAAAGAACCCGAAUAGAAUUCAUUUUUGCAACAGGAGUGAAUGUCUCUUGAUAAUCUAUUCCAUAUGUCUGAGUAAAUCCUUUUGUGAUGAGUCUUCCCUUGAAUCUCUCAAUGGUCCUGUUGUUGCUAAAAUUCAGAUCUUGAUUGGAGUAGUUGGAGCGGUGGUUGCCACUAAAAUUUGGAUCUUGAUUGGAGUAGUUGGAGCGGUGAUGUGCUCCACCUGGGAAGUAACCUGCCAAGCAAGUCCCUGUUAGAGUUGGCUCCGAUGGGGACUCUGAUGCUCAAGUUAGAUCUAAAAAAAAAUAGAAGAGAAAGAGUGUUUGAGAGAGAUUGUGCGCACAUACCUUGGGGUCCUCUGGAGGCCAUUUUGUAGGCGAGGGCCAAAAGGCUAUUUUGGGUAGGUUGCUUGGCCGGUUUGGGCUCGAUAUGGUGAAACUUUCGGUCGGGAUCUUGGGAAUUGGGCAGUUACACCUGCCUUAUCUGUUUCGGAGCCAGCUGUGAUGCCGCAGAUGCUUUUGAAUUUGAAAUGAGGGUGUAGGUAAGAUUGGACUAGCUUAGGUUGAGGCAGCUUUGGAGCAGUCCGAUGCAUGUAGGCACCGAAUGAAGGUAGCUGGGAUCAAAUUGUAUUCGCGGGGAUAAGGAUCGGUGGAGUUUGAAAGUAUAUCUACCGCUGAAGUCUGAGAUCGAUCUGUUCAAAUGUUAGCCUGCUGUAGGGACUGGGAUCGGUUGGCGGAGUCUUGGUUACGGGGAGGCAUAUAAGGAUCGCUGGGACCCAAAGCCAGGAUCGGGGAGGUCCGAAGUUAUGUACUGAAUGACCUACUUCACAGUCCUCCCAUGGUUCAGGGAGGCAUAUCUACUUCCAAGAUUAGACACAUUCAUCUCCAAUAGUGCUGUGGCAUCGGCCCUAUAUGCUUCAUCAUGUGCCUUUCCACUGAUUCAUGUCUUCGGUCUGGGUGACAAAUUAUCCCCCAACAGAUGUCCCCUACUCCCAAGUUCAGUGCGGAUGAAGAGAGUACAUGAGUUUUGAUUUGCUGGAGACAUCAUCGUUGCCACUGAAACGAUGCUUGCGGCCCUUGGGCAGAACAAAAGUUCACAUCGGUGGGUAAUCAUGACCAUAGGGAGUGGAGCAGUUGGCUGAAUUCAAAAGGUGGCGUGUCUUAUUUUCAGUGCAAAUCAUUAAUGAGCCGACUAUCAUUUACUGCAGACGAAUGGAGAUAUGCCAAGUAUUGAUCAUCAAAGUCAAGCAAGAUUCGGCAUCUAAGCCGUUCUACCCUUCUGUACCUAUAAAAUGGGGCCGUAUUCCUUACCUUCUCUUUCUCAUGCUUCCAGACUUUUCAUAAGCUUUUCGUUUCCUUCUCCAGUCAGCCUCCUUGCUUCGAGAUUCUUUCCGAUCAUCUCCCUCAGUUUUCUCGAAUUGCCAGUGGUUCCUUUUUGGUCUCUCCUCCACCUCCUGUGCAGUUGUAGGUUGGUUUUUUCUCCCUUCCCUAGUUUCUUUUUCAGUUUUUUAGUCCGAUUGCCUUUUCUUCCUCUCUUCGUGUCCAUUUUCUUUCCUGUUCUCUUAUUGUGUCUUCCAAUGGCUGGUUUCGGGAGUCUUAGCGAAGGCUUGUCUUCCGAACAUCUUCCUCUUUGAGGGAAGCUUUUGCUGGUUCAGACGAGGGGUGCGGUGUUGUACCAUCCUUUGAUUUCGACACAAUCGGAUCCAAAUUGGGCCCGAAGGACUUGAUUCUCGUCUGUGCCUGAUAUGGAAUUCCUCCAUUUGAAUUAGAACCCCUGGUCCUAGUGGUAGGAUUGGUAACCCGCCUUCCUAUAGGAUUGGCCUGUAUGAGGAAGCCUUUAAGGCUGGACUUAGAUUACCCAUUCAUCCUUUUGUCGUCAAACUUUUUCACUUCUUUGACAUCUUUCUUUAUUCUAUUAUUCCGAACUUUUUUUGCUUCAUCAUCGGCUUUAUUAUUCUUUAUUCCAAGACCAAAGUCCCACCGUCCAUCUCUCUUUUUUGAUCCUUUUAUAUUAUAAAGAGGUAUAUGGGUGACUGAUGGUACGUCUCUCCUCCAAGGGGGUUUCUACCUUGAUAAAGGGACUCCUUUGGUUCAUGGUUAGAAGGAUCGGUUCUUUUUUGUUUUGGAGCCCUCUGUUGAAGAAUGGAGACUUCCAUACUAGGGUCAGCUGAGGGAUUCAAUCUUCCAGGUCCUGAAGCUUGAAGAUGAGGAUCUACAGCACUCCAUAAUCUUGAGGGGCUACUAAAUUCCUCCAUUAAAGUUGUUGUCGGAGCAGGUUCUCUUCAAUAUUGAUAUCGGUCUGGCUGACCCUAAAGGUGAGGGUUUUUUCGAUUUUUAGAUAUUUGAUCUUUUUAUAGAUACUAAUUUUUUUUAUGUAGAAAUGAGGCCUGAAGAAUUGGAGAAGCUGAAGAAGGGUGCGAUGAAGAAGAGAAAGGCACCCUCUUCAUCCACCGCUGAUGUCCAGAAGAAAUUGAAGACUUCAGGCGAGAGUCAAAAGAAGGCACCCCCUCCAGCCUUUGCUCAGGCGGCAGUCAUAUCAGUUCCACUGAUACAAUCUUGCCCUCCGAAGCUCGCUGCGCUCUCUGGUCCCCAGGCUGAUCCAACCCAAGUGAAGUCGGACUCUGCUAGACUAUCCAUGGAGCGGAGAUAGGGGUCAGCUUCGCCAUCUAUCGAUGAUGUCAUCGAUGAUUGGAAGACUGCCAACAAUAUCUUUCGAAAGAUGCUUUUUGACACUGGCAUAGAAAAGGUCGAAGGGGAGAGCUCCACAAGGCAAAAGAAGCGGAUGAUAACCUCUCUAGUUUGGGUGAGCUUUUUCUUAUUCUUUUUUCCCUCUUUUUUUUCUUUUUUUUUUACUAACUGUUUGCUCCUUGGAUGCAGAUGGGUCACUAUGUCAUCGCCCUUAUUAAUAGAUUGAGUGACAUUGAAAUGGAAUUGGCCAAAGCACAUGAAAAGCGCAAAGCAGCUGAAACUUCUGAAGCUAAGGCGAAUGUUGCUGCUGUUGAGGUCCAAUCCAAGGUGGAAGCUGCAGAAGCCGAAGUUGCCCACCUGAAGAAGGUGUUAGAGGAGGCCAAGGCUUCAAAGGCGAAGGUGGCCUACUUGGCUUCAAAAAAAGAGAGAUGGCAGGAGGUGCAAGCCAAAGUCGCUGAAGCUGAAAAGGUGGAGGAUCGGGCUGCCGAAGCUAGGUGCAAGGUGAUGGAAGCUUUCCAUGCAUCCGAGGAGUUCUCCCAGGAAAAGAUUGACUUAAGCUAGGAAGCUUUCAUUGUUGGGGGAGUCGUUUGCUGCCAAAGGAUAACGGUGCGCUUUUCGGGGAUGGAUCUGAGCUUCUUGGAUAAAGAAGAAGAGCCGAAGGAGAAGAAGGAAGAACCAAAGGAGGAGCCUCAAGAAGUGAGGGACUUCCAUCUGCUGAAGCUACUAAAGGAUGCUCUGAAGCUGCUUGACCAUCGAAGGUUGUGCCGACAUCUAUUCCUACCGAAGCUGCACCAGUUUUAUUGCCACUAGUGGAGUCAAAGCAGUCAACUGUAGUCAUUUCAAGUUCCUUUGCCGAUGCUCAUGCUGAGGUCGGGAAUAUUUGAAUUUUAUUUUUUUUGUUUUUCUGUCAAUGUAAUGAAAAAUUUUUAUAUCAAUGAAGUAAUUUUUACCUCCGUGUCCUUCGAUUUGUGUUUGUUUUUGGUAUUUUCCUCGGUUUGGUGUGAAUGUUAUGACCACAUAUUUACUCAAUAUCGCACGAAACGUUUGCCAACAGCUCUGCCUUUAAGAACUCGAAUUGAGAACCUUGAAAAAGAUCUCUAUCGGGUUCAACGUGAUGCUGCCAAAGUAAGAAACUUCGAAAGGUGAAGAAGAAUACAGAUGAGGCUUUGGCGGAAGUAGAGUGCCUAAGAAAAUGCCUGAAGCAGACAUAGAAAAUAUUUUGACAAAAAGUGCAGGCUAAUCAAGGAGCGCAAUAAAUUUGCGAAGUCGGUUGGGAAAAAUAACUGAAAGAUAGUUGCGACCAAGGUUUUCCAUACCAUGCCGAACCAGUCGGUACAUCCCGUAUUGUACUGGACCGACGAGGAACCGGCACGAUUCGGUCGGUAAAUUCGAUACACGGGUGGUACGGAAGGAAAAAAGAGAGUGAGAAAGAGAGGAGAGGGAGGGAGGUGGGAGCCGGCGGUGGCCGGCUGCGGCCGUCGGAGGGCUUUCGAGCCCCGUAUCGCCCGAUAGGGCUUUCAAAAGAGCGAGAAAGAGAGAGCUCAGAGGGGGGGGGCGAGGGACCUAUCGGACGGACGGUGCCUCCAUCGCGAGCCUCGAUGGCUGGUGAGCUGGCACCGACGGCCUGAGGGCGGUCGAGCAGGCGGAGCCCCUCUGCGGCUUCACCUUCUUUUUCAAAACAAAUGACCGUCUGUUUCGAUUUUUUAUUUUUUAUUUUUGGUUUUAAACUUAUGAAGUCGGUUGCCGACUUAAGGGAUUUUUAAAAAAAAAUACAAAUCAUAAAGCCGGCCAACUAUUUGCCGGCUUCACUUAAAACUAGGUUUUUUAAAAAAAUUUGCGACGCCCCUGUUUCACGCCCGCGGUGCCGCACGCGUGGACUGCACCCUCCGAUGACCAGGCGGCUAGUCGGAGGCCAUCCGGCAGCCCCACCAGCUCCUUCCUCUUGUUCUUUCUUCCUCUUUCUCUCUCUAUUUCUCUCUCUUUUUUUCUUCCGAUUCGGGUUCGCUUGCCUUCGUUGGUUCGGUACAGUACGAAACCAUAUCGAACCAUACCAUCGGUCGGCUGAUACAGCCGGCGGUACCGGUUCAGCAUAUCUUGGUUGCGACGAUAGUUCUUUGCAAUGAACAAUUGCUCAAGUCCUAAGAUGAGAUAAUGGGGCUGAAGUAUGUUAUAUCAUUGAGCAAAGUCGCUAGCGAAGUCAGAGCAGAUUCGACUGCUCAGAUCCGUCAACUUCAAAGCAACCUUCAUUCGACUGAGGACAAGGUCAAGGAACUCAAUUGAGUGCUGAACACUGAGGGAUCAGCAGUCGAUGUCAUUUGGCGCGAACUUAUCUCGGCCCGGCAGACCUCUGUUGACCUUUCGGAAGCUUUGAGCAAGAACAGGUCUGCGAUGAUCAAGCUCCAUGUCAAGCUCAUGGAGAGCACGACGGCAGCCAACCACGUUGAAGCUACUAUUAAGGAUUUGGAGGACUGACUUGCCACGACCUUGCGCAAUGCAACUCUCGAAGUCGCAGAAGUGUCAGCUAUGGCUUUUGACAUUGGCUUCGAAGAGUGCAGGAGUUUGAUCAGGCGGCUUUUUUUUGAAGUUUACUCCUAUCUCCAUACUCAUAUGGGUCCAGUAGCUCGAGAAACAUCGAGUACCACGGUCGGAGGAGUAUCAAAUGUCGAAGCUCCAUCAACCAAAGGCAGGCCUUCCAAAUGAUUGAUGUACCUUUUUAUUUUUUUUUGUAGACAUCUGUUUUGCAGCUUCUAUAACAAGUUUGUUAAUAAAAUGGACUUGAGAUUUUUGUUCCACCGAUACUUUUAUGUUUCAUUGAUUUUGUGUUCGCAUAGUUCGGAUUUAGUCAUGUACGAUCCUUGCAUUAGGGAAUUUCAUGGAGAUACUCGUAGACUGACUGUAGCCUUCGCUUCGAGAGUUCUUAGAGGUUAGCUCUCUGAAGGUUCUUAUAGGUUAUGCUUCAUAUGUUGCCGAAGUCAGUAGGCUGAGGGUCCUCAUAGGUUAGCCCUCGUUUGUUGUUGAAAUCAGUGGGCUGAGGAUCCUUAUAGGUUAGCCCUCUGAAGGUCCUUUUAGGUUAGCCUUCGCAUCUCGCAUGAAUAAGGUCUUCAUGGGUGCUGGCUCGCUGAAAAGUGAGCGACCUUCGGGGGUCCUUAUAGGUUAGCCCCCAUUUCUGAGUCAUCAAGGUCUUUAGUCCAUGUAGGUUGGAAUGGCGAAGUUGGAACGGUGAACAUUGGGGGUCCUUGUACAUUAGCCCCCACUUUUCGUAUGACUAUGGUCUUCACGGGCAUUGGCUCGCUGAAAAGUGAGCAGCCUUUGGGGGUCUUUAUAGGUUAGCCCCACUUUUUAGCUGUCGAAGUCUUUGUUGUCGAUGCCUUGGAUUGAUGGAUUUCGAGGGUCUUUUUCGGUUAGCCUUCACUUCUCGCAUGAUUAAGAUCUUCAUGGGUGCUAGCUCACUGAAAAGCGAGCGGCCUUGGGGGGUCCUUAUAGGUUAGCCCCUGCUUCUCAGUCACCGAGGCCUUUGGAUUGUUGAUCACAGGAGAAUAAUAUUCCUGAAAAAAGAUCAUUUUAUUAGUUGAUUGUCAAGUUACAUCAUUGAUAGUAUAUUCGGAGGUUCUCCGAGUUCUAUGGCUGAGGUAAGGGUGUUCCAUCCAGUUGCUUGAGGCAAUAAGUUUCUGGUCUGACGACUUCGUCCACUUGGUAGGGGCCUUCUCACUUUGGAGAUAGUUUUUUGUGUUCUGUUGGUUGGGAGACUUCGGCUCGUUGUAGGACCAAAUCAUCGGCUUUGAAUUCUUUUUUCCGAAUGUGGGAGUUAUAGUAUUGUGCCACCCUUUGCUGAUAGGCCAUCGUCCACACUCGUGCUUUCUCGUGAACUCCUUCAAGCAAAUUUAGGUUGGCAUGAAGCUGUUUUGUAUUGCUUCGAUCAUUGUAGUCCUCAACCCAAUAUAAAGGGAGUCCGAUUUCUAUAGGAAUGAUGGCUUCCGUUUCGAAGGAGAGGUUGAAAGGAGUCUCUCCUGUGGGUGUCCUUUGAGUGAUUCGGUAGGUCCAAAGCAUGCUAUGUAGCUCAUCCACCCAUGCUUCUUUAGCUCGACUGAUCCUGGCCUUCAGCCCCUGUAAAAGGGUAUGGUUAGUUACCUUAGCCUCGCUGUUAGCCUACAGAUGUCCCACUAAAGUGAAGUGCUGGGCAAUGAUGUAGCUUUGAUAGAACUCGAUGAAUUUGGAGCCCAAGAACCGACGUCUAUUGUCGGUGAUCAGCACUCGCAAGAGAUCGAAUCGGCAAAUAAUGGACUUCCAGAUGAAGUUUGUUACCUUGGCUUCAGUGAUUUUGGCUAGGGACUCAGCUUCUACCAACUUGAUAAAGUAGUCGAUGGCCACAAGUAAAAAUUUUUACUAGCCUGAUGCUGAUGGAAAGGGGCUUUAGAAUAUCCAUCCCCCAUUGUGCGAAUGGCUAAGGAGCGGCUUUCAGGACUAGUGGAAUGGCUGGCUGGUGCUGAACAUUGGCAUUCCGUUGACAUCGAUUGUAGUGCUUGACAAAGUCAGCUACAUCAUCCUACAUUGUAGGCCAGUAAUACCCCUAGCGAAGUAUCUUGUAGGCCAACGAUCUACUGCCCAGAUGAUUUUCACAUCCCUUUGUGCACAUCUCGAAUGGCAUAUUCAAUUUCGAAAGUAUGGAGACAUCUGAGUGGUAGGGAGAAGGAUCGUUUAUAAAGCUUGCCUUCAUAAAAAAUAUAAUGGGGAGCUUGAUAUUUGAUCUCUCGAGCCUCUUUAGAAUCUGCGGGCAGCACUCCAUCUUAUAGGAAGCGGAUGAAGGGAUCCAUCCAACAAGAUCCGUUGUCGAUCUGCAAGACUGGGAUCUGUUCUUUAGUACCGGGCUUCUUCAGAACUUCAAAGAAUAACUUCUGGGGAAGAUCUCUUGGAGCCGAUGUUGUCAAUUUGGAUAGUAGAUCGGCUCUUGAAUUCUCGGAUCGAGGUACCUACUGAAUAUCGAAAUCAGCAAACACCGAACUUAGGUCCUUCACCUUCUAAAGGUACUUCUCCAUAUUCUCCUCCUGGGCCUCAAAGUCUUCCUUCACUUGUCCUGCCACCAGCUGUGAAUCAAUGCAGAUCCUAAGCUUUCGCACCUCCAGCUCCCUUGCAAUUCCAUAAAGAGUGCUUUAUAUUCAGCUUCAUUAUUAGUGGUUGGAAAAUCAAACCUCAAGGCAUAUUCUGCAACAAAUCCUUCGGGCCCAAGAAGUAACAGAUCUGCUCUCGAUUCUACAGAGUUCGAUGAUCCAUCCACAUGCACUAUCCAAAGAUCGUCUGAUUUCCCAGACGGACCUUGUUCCACUAGUGCAUCUUCUUGUUGAGUUGGCCUUGGCAUUUUUAGGUCUUUUAGGAUAGUGCAUUCCAUAAUGAAGUCCAUCAAAAUCUGAGCCUUAAUAAAGGGCCGAGGUUGGAACGUUAUCUUGAACUCUACAAGUUCAAUCGCCUAUUUCGCCAAUCGCCUAGAAGUAUUGGGCUGAUGCAAAACUGCCUUGAGCGGUUGAUCAGUUAGCAUUACAAUGGGAUGUGCUUGGAAGUAGGGUCGAAGCCUUCGAUCUGCAACAAUAAGGGCAAAGAUCAGCUUCUCCAGUCUGGUGUACUUGGUCUCUGCAUCAUGCAAGACUCGGGUGAUAUAGUAGAUCAGCCUUUGGACUUCAUCCUGAUCAUCGACCAACACCACGCAUAUGGCAGUUGGUGAGACCACUAAGUAUAAGUAAAGUUCUUCAGCAGGCUUCGGCUUGCUGAGGGUGGUGCAGAACUGAGAUAAUUUUUCAACUCUACGAAUGCGUGCUGGCAGUCUUCGGUUUAUUGGAAGUUCUUCGGUUGCCUCAGGGUUUGAAAGAAUGGGAGAUAGCGUUCGGCCGAUCUAGAGACAAACUGGUUUAAUGCUGCUACCUUGCCUGUGAGAUGUUGAACCUCCUUGAUGUUCUUAGGCGGGCACAUCUCUUGUAUGGCUUGAAUCUUCUCAGGAUUGGCUUUUAAUACCACGGCUGGACACCAUGAAGCCUAAGAAUUUGCCCAAAGAAACUCCAAAGGCAUACUUAGUUGGAUUCAGCUUCAUCGAUGCUUCCUCAGAGUGCCAAAGGUCUCUUCGAGGUCCUCAAUGUGGGUUCGUGAGGUCCUGCUUUUGACAAGCAUGUCGUCUAUGUAGACCUCCAUGUGUCGAUUGAUCUGAUCCUUGAAGAUCUUGUUCGUCAGGCACUGAUAAGUUGCACCUAUAUUUUUCAGGCCAAAGAGCAUAAUCCUGUAACAGAAGAGAUCCCGAUCAAUAACAAAAGCUAUUUUCUCCUCAUCUUCAGGUGUCAUUCGAAUUUGAUUGUAUCCAGAAAAAGCAUCUAUGAGAGUAAGGAGUUCAUGUCUUGACAUGGCGUCCACCAGUUGGUCGAUUGAAGAUAGGGGGUAGCUAUCCUUCGGACAUGCUUUGUUGAGAUUAAUGAAGUCGAUACAGAUUCGCCACUUCCUAUUCACCUUUUUCAUCAGGACCACAUUCGCGAUCCAGCUUGGAUAGGUCACUUUCCGAAUGAAGCCUUCAUCGAGUAAUUUAUCCACCUCUUCGGUUAUCGCCUUCUGUCGUUCGGAAGUGAAGCUUAUUUUUUUGCUUGAUGGGUCAGUGAUUCGGUUUGAUGCUUAAACGAUGCGUCAUCACCUACGGAUCAAUGCCUGGCAUAUCAAUUAGGGUCCAGGCGAAUGCAUUUGCCUUUUUCUAUAAAAAGGAGACGGGAUAUUUUUUGGUUACUUGAUUGAGGUUCAACCCAAUCUGGAUAGUGUGCUCCUAAUUGCUAUCAUUAGUGCGGUCGUCUCUAGGUUCUCCACUAGCAUCCCAUAUUCUUCGGUUAGUUCAUCCUAGGUGUCCAGUCCAUCGACUGGAUAAGCUUUAAAAGGUCCCGCAUCAUAAAGUGCGAUUGUGUAGCACUGUCGUGCCAAAGCCUAGUCUCCUCUAACUUCACCAACUCUAAACUCAGUUGGAAACUUUAUCUUCAGGUGAUUGGUGGAUACCACAGCUCAAAGUGCAUCGAGUCCUGGGCAUCAGAGAAUGGCAUUAUAGGCGAUAGUGCCUGAACUACCAGGAAAUCAACCUGAGCACUGGAUUGUCGGGGGGAUCGUCCAGCCAUUAUAGGGACUGUAAUGACUCCUUCAAUAGGUACUGCAUCUCCAAUAAAUCCCAUAAGAGGGGAGUCCAAUCGUCGUAACCGCUCACAAGGAAUACCCAUGUGGGAGAAAGCAUCAUAGAAUAAUACAUUUGCCGAACUUCCAUUAUCAAUCAAAAUACGGCGUAUAUCAUAAUUUGCAAUGUUUAAUGAUACAACCACCGCAUCAUUAUGCAGGAACUGACUCCUAUAGCAUCUUCCUUAGUGAAUGUGAUGGAUUCUUCAGUUUUUCGCUUUUUGGCUGGUUUGGUUGACUCCACUUGCUUUUGUGUCCUCCAGUUAUUAUGUUUACUAUUCUGACAGGAGGUCAAUCCUCGAAAGGCUCUCCUUGCCGCUGUUCUGGUGGGCGAGACGACCUCUGCUAUUCUUCUGGCUACUCCUACCAACACCUGAUGAACUGAUCCAAUCGACCUUGCUAAAUAAGCUCCUCGAUUUCAUCCCGAAGUUGAAGAUAUUUUGGUGUCGUGACUAUGGUCGUGGUGGUAGAGACAGUACUUGUUGGGAUUUUGGCGAACUGGAUGGGUCCGCAACUUUUCUACUCGAAGGAUCCGAUCCUUGAUCUCCAUCAAUACUUGGGCUCGGACAGCGUUCAGCGGCGUGUGGUUUGUGAAUCUCCUAGGUGGAGACACACAUCGCCUUUCUCUGAAGGAAUUCUUCUGUUAGCAGUUACGUAGGGGAGUUCGAGACUUUCGACGUCUGGGUGGAGAGUGAGAGCACUGCUGAUCCCUCGGCGGAGACUUCAUCUCUUCUUUCUUCUUCUCUCCUACAGCCACAUCUGUUGAAGGCUCAUCUUCAAAUGCUUCAUCGGUCUACGUGUACUUCUCCGCUCAAGCCAACAUGUCGGUGAAGUCGUGAGGAUAGGUCUUCUUCAGAGAGUAUCGAAGACCGUUCCUCAGGAGUCCGCCCUUUAAGGCUGUCAUAGCGAUCGAUUGAUCUAGAUCGCGAACCUCUAGUACAGCCGCAUUGAAGCAACUGAGGUAGGAUUGGAUUGACUCUCCCUGCUUCUGCUUGAUAUUGACUAGAUAGUCUGAUCCUUUUCGCUAUCUCCUAUUGCUAACGAAGUGACCCACGAACAAGUGACUCAUUUGGUCAAAUGAGUGGAUUGUCCGCGGCUUCAGACUUAAAUAUUAGUGUCGUGCCGUGCCCUUCAAAGUAGAAAGGAAAGCUCAGUAGAGGGCAGCAUCGAUAGCCCUCUGAAAGAGCAUCAAGGCCUUAAAAUUUUUCAGAUGAUCCACGAGAUUAGUAAUCCCAUGGUAGCUUUCCAGCUAUAGCAUUUUAAAGUUAUUGGGGAGUGGCUUCUGCAUGAUUUGGGUGCUGAAGUGCGGAUCGAUGUGGAAUCCAUCAUCCUGUAUCGGAGCCUAGUUGCGAGUGCCUUAAUGUGCUCAUUCAUCUCCCGAAGUUUGCGAUCGAUAUCCGCAUCUCGGGCAGAGCAGUCCUUCGAACGUCGUGGAGAUCGCUAGCUAGGGGUCGAGUUCUAUCUGGAACAGGGACUCAGAGAUCGUCGCCUUCUCUGCUCUGGGCUUUGAGGCUGGCUAUGGUGUCUGUUUCCUCCGCUUAGGGCUCUACGGAGGGAUCUGCAGUCGCUCCUACAGUGGCAGCGCGGGUUGCUAUACAGGAUUGGUUGGUUGCGGUUCCGCCACCAGUGCAGUGUUGGUCAGCUACGCUGCUGCUGCCGCCGGUGCAGUUUAAUCUGCUGCACUGGCACCACCACUGUUGGUGCAGCAUGGAGUUGCUGCAUCGCCUGAACGACGGGGGUCAAGGUCUGCACCUGCUAAAAUAGUAGGUUAAACUGCUUUGCGCUGAUGGCCACCAUCGAUGGCGGAGGCAAUGGAGGAACCUCCUGAAGUUGCACCUAGGCCUAGGGGUUGGUUGUGUUCUCCACCAUCCGAGAGGUAGUGGCGUUGGAUCACCGAAAAGAUGUUCUGCGUAGGGCUAUGAUCUCAAUCUCUUGCUCAAAAUUGGAUCAAUGUCUUUCCUCUAGCAUCAAUCUGUUGCCGCUGAAAUCCAAAUCUUGAUCGGAGUAGCUAGAGCAGUGGUUGCCAUUGAAAUCUAGAUCUUGAUCGGAGUAGCUGGAGUGGUGGUGCACCCAUCUGAAAACUAACCUACAAAGCAAGUUCUUGCCGAAGUUGGCUUCAACGGAGAUCUUCCAACGCUCAAGUCAGAUCUCAAAGAAAUAGAAGAGGAGCAUUUGAGAGAGAUUGUGUCGCACGUACGUUGUCCCUUGGAGGCCAUUUUGUAGGCGAGGGUUGAAAGGCCAUUUUGGACAGGUUAUUUAGCCGAUUUGGACACGAUAUGGCAAAACUUUCAAUCGAAAUCUUCAGGAUUGGGCAAUUACACCUGACUUAUCUAUUUCGGAGCCAACUAUGGUGCCGUAGGGAUUUUUGAAUUUGAAAUGAGGGCAUAGGUAGGAUCGGGUUGGCUUCGAUUGAGGAGGCUUGGGAGCGGUCCGAUGCAUGUAGGCAUCGAAUGAAGUAGUUGGGAUCAGCUGUAUUUGUUGAGAUAAGAUUCAGUGGAGUCUGAAAGUAUAUUUGCUGCUGAAGUUUGAGAUCGACCUGUUCAAAUGUUAGCCUACUGUGGGGAUUGGGAUCGGUUGGCGGAGACUUGGUUACAAGCCGAAGUUAGGAUCAGUUGGAAUCUGAUGUUCCACUUAGGAAGAUCGCUUGACAUAAGGAUCACUGGGACCCGAAGCUAGGAUCAGGGAGGUCCGAAGUUAUGUAUUGAAUGACCUCCUUCACAGUCCAAUGGUUCGGAGAGGCAUAUCUACUUCCGAGAUCGGACACAUUCAUCUCCAAUAGUGCUGUGGCAUCGGCCCUAUAUGCUUCAUCAUGUGCCUUUCCACUGAUUCAUGUCUUCGGCCUGGGUAAUAAAUUAACCCCCAACAGGUCCCAUUAGCCUUUUGUUUGAUGGUGAAAACCCACUUACAACCAACUGCCUUUUUCCUGAUGGGAGAGUGGUAAGCUCCCAAGUUUCAUUUUUUUGCCAAUGCUUUCAUCUCCUCCAUCAUAGCUUCCUCCCAAUUAGGAUCAGCAAGUGCUUCCUUCCAAUUAGGAUCAGCAAGUCCUUCCUUCGAAUCUUGGGGAGUAGACACAGAAGACAAAGACGGUACAAAAGUUCUAUAGGAAGGAGACAAUGAGUUAUAUGAAAUAAAAUUGGAUAUGAGAUGUUGAGUACAACUUCGAACUCCUUUCCUAAUAGCAAUAGGCAGAUCAAUAUCAUUAAUGAUUGGUUCAUGGCAAUUUGGAGAUGAGACAGGUGACUUACUAGGAGUAGGAGGAGAUUGUGGUAGAACUAAAUAUGAGGAUGGCACUUCACUAGGUGGGGUUUGUACAGUGGCUUUAUCUACCUAUUUUCUGGGAGUAUAUGUUUGUAGGUCCUUUUUAUUUUGAUUUAAGUACCUGCAACUAUUAUUUUUUUCUCCAUUCACAUUCUCUUUUUCCUUCUCUCCCUCAUUUAUAACUUUCUCCGUCUUCCCCUCACUUCUAUAUGGUAAAGUAGGUGAAGAAACCUACAUUGAUGAGGAUGAAGGAGACUCUUCCAGUGUGACAUUCUCCCCCUGAAGAGACGACCUAGCAAAGUAGGCUUCAGUUUCUUAAAAAAUGACAUCCAUACUAACAAACAUUUUCUGAUGGGGGGUGAUAGCACUUGUAACCAAGGUUUGCCAUACCGUGCCGAACUGACCGGUAGACCCCAUCUCGUACCAGACUGGCGGGGAACCGGCACGUUUCGGCCGGCAAAAUUGGUACACCGGUGGUACCGAAGAAAAAAGAAUGGAAAGUGAGAAAGAGAGAGAGAGGGGAGGGGAGGAAGGUGGGAGCCAUCGGAGGCCGGCUGCGGCCGUCGGAGGGCUUUCGAGUCCCGUAUCGCCCGAUAGGGCUUUCAAGAGAGCAAAAAAAGAGAGAGAGCGCUCGGAGGGGGGCAAAGAACCUAUCGGACGGACGGUGCCUGCGUUGCGAGGCUCCCGGUGGCCGACGAGCCGACGUCGACGGCCUUAGGCCGUCGAGCGGGCGGAGCCCCGGGGCUCNNNNNNNNNNNNNNNNNNNNCCUCCGACGGCCACGGCGGCCAGUCGGAGGCCAUCCGACGGCCCCGCCAGCUCCUUCCCCUCCCUCUUUUUUUUUUCUUCCUCUUUCUCUCUCUCUAUUUCUCUUUAUUUCUCUCUUUUUUCUUUCGGUUCGGAUCAUCGAUUUGGUACAGUAUGAAACCAUACCGAACCGUACCGUCGGUCGAUCGAAACGGCCGACGGUACCGGUUCAGUAUACCUUGCUUGUAACCUUUUUGAGUUGCUGAGUAUCCAAUGAAUUUACACUUUAGGGCACAUGGGUCAAGUUUGCUUAUGGUUCUCCAAUGAUUAUGAACAAAGCCAACACAACCAAAGAUUUUUAGGAAGAACAAUAAAAGAACAAGUAUGUUAAAGGAGCUCACAAGGAGUUCUAAACUUGAGUGAUUGUAAUGGCAUCCGAUUAAUAAGAUAAGUUGCAGUAAGAACUGCAUCUCGCCAAUAGGUUUUAGGAACAUUUAUAGUAAACAUGAGUGACUUGGCGACGUUACAUUCUACAACAUUCUAAGCUGGUGUAUCUACAUGACUUGUUUGAUCUAUGACGCUAUGGUUACCAAGAUAAUUUUGAAAAGAACUAUCAGUAUAUUCUAUGCCAUUAUCACUCCUCAAAAUCUUAAUUUUUGCAUUAAACUACGUACAUACCAUUUUAUGAAAUAACUUGAAACAAAAAAAACCUCAUCUUUGCUGUGCAACAAAUAGACCCUAGUAGUACAAUUAUAGCAAUCAAUAAACAUAAUAAACCAUCAGAAAUCAGAUAAUGACACAACUCGACUAGGACCCAAACAUCUGAAUGAACCAUCAUAAAUGGUGCAGCACUUUUAUUAUUACUAGAAGAAUAAGAAGUUUGAUUGUGCUUGGUAAAUUCACAAGCAUCACAAAGUAAAGUUUUCUUAGUGCACUGCUGAAAUAAAAUAGGAAAUAACUUCUUUAUAGCUUUAAAGGAUGGAUGACCUAACUAUUGGUGCCACUGAAGUAACUGUUGUUGAGUAGGCAUUAAGGACUUGAGGUGGAAAAUCUGGCUUGCAGAACUUAUUAUGGUUGAUAAAUUAAAAUCAUCUUCUAAUAGAUUAAGUCAUCUUGAACCCUACUGUUAGAAAAGAAAUAUAGUAUGUAGUUAUAUUUUUAGUAUGGUUAUAUGGUUAUAACCAUAUAUUAAGGUCUCACCAUAAUUUGUAUGUGUCCAAGUACAUUGUAUUUAGUAUGUGUCCAAGUACAUUGUAUCUAGUUGCCUAUAAAGGCCCUUCAAGAGGCUAAAAGAAAGUAAUAAUAAUUCCUUUCUCUUCUCUCUAUUGACAUGAUAUCAGAGCCUAACCCUAUUCCUAAUCAAAGCCACUGCCACCUCCAUAGCCUUCCAUCUCGCCAUCUCCCAUCUCUCACACGCCAUCAAGUUCUUUCUAGUCAUCGAGAAAGGAGCAAAUCACCGUAGGAGCACCGGGCUGCGAUCAUCCGUGCAAGGAAGGGGGUGAGGCCGCCUCAUCACCGAUCAGCCUCUCACCGAUCGGCCCCAUGUUUUCACCCUCGUCCACAUUGUCCUCAUCUGAUGCACCCACGCCUUCAACAUCAUCCUUGACAAUGUUGCCAUUCUCCCUAGAUGUCGCCGCCUACACCGUCUAAAUCUGCUGCAGCCACCUCUUUUUGCCACUGCCAUCAUCAUUCCCUUCUGCUAUUGCCGUUGCUGUCUUUCUCUCUAGUUUCUGUUUGGUGAUGAUUAUCAUGCAUCCAGGAUCGAUGUUCCAUCACUUCUCUAUCAUCGUCAGAUCUCAUGGACUCCGCAUCAGCCUUUCUUUUCAAGAUUCAUUGAUGCUGUGGGCUGUUUUCUCUUUUGUAAUAGUCAUCGGAGAUCCCUUUUGAGCAUUGCAUUCUUCUACAUCCUCUCCCUUUUGGCAGAUCCUCUAGAUUUUCUUUAUGGCUUCUUCCUUGAAUGACCUGAGAACCACCCUUUUUGGUACCAAUGUCAAAUUUAAUGGUGCCAAUUACCUUCUUUGGUCUCAAGCAUUUCGCUACAUGAUGGGAUCCCACAGGAAGCUCUAUCAUCUUGACAAAGAUCUGUUGAUAGUGCUGAUUUAGUAGAAUUCUGCAAAUGGCAAGAGGCUGAUUAUGCUGUUCUCACCUGGAUGUUACACAACCCAGAGCCUCAUAUUCCUAAUACUAUGAUGUUUCUAUCCACCGCGAAAGAGAUGUGGGAUUUCUUGAGGAUAACAUACUUUCAAGAGAAGAAUGUCUCGAGGAUUUACUCUCUCUACUCAGAUAUCUUCUCUUUGCAGCAGGGGGAUCUCUCAAUCUAGAAGUACUACAGCAUUCUUUAGGAAAAGAGAACUGAGCUUGCCCAAUAUUAUUUCCUCACUGCUGAUGUUUCUAUUCUUCAACAACAGCAUGAGGAAUUCUAUGUAGCGAAGUUUCUUUCCAUGCUUAAUCCCUCUCUCUCGUAUUCGAGCUCAGCUUAUGGCUGAUGAUAGCAUUCCCAUCUUGAGUAAUGCUAUGAGUCGAGUUCUACAUGUUACUAAGUUGCAGCCUACAUCUCCAACUAUGGAGAACAUUGCUUUUAUUGUUGGUACUUGUAGUGGCCGAGGGAGUCGUGGAGGUCAUGGACGUGGACGUAACUCUUUCUCACCAUGUCCACAUUGCAGACGCUCAAAUCAUCCUAUUGAGCAUUGUUGGCAGAAAUUUAGGAAGCCUCCUGCCUCUCGUCUUGCUAGUACUGCAUCCUCUAUAGCUCUAUUUGACGUUGGUGCCUCUCCUACCGCUGAUGACUCGGUUGUGAUUUCACAGGCUGACUACGAGCGAUUUCUCCAAUCCACCAGUGCCUCCACAUCUUCAGCUCCACCAGUUGUCUCCUACUCCUGGGAUGGCUACUGCAGUCAGUCCUGGUAUGUCCUGGUUAUUAGAUUCAAAUGCUUCUUUUCAUGUCAGGUAAUAAAGAUCUUUUUUCUACAUACACUCCAUUGUCUCAUGUGCUAUCCGUCACUAUGACGGAUGGCACUUCAAUUCCUAUUCUUGGAUGUGGUACUAUAAGGAUUUUCCCUACUCUCAUUCUUAUAGAUGGCACUUCAAUUCCUAUUCUUGAAUGUGGUACUAUAAGGAUUUUCCCUACUCUCAUUCUUAUAGAUGUCCUAUAUACUUCUACAUGUCAUUUGAAUUUGUUAUCUAUUGGAUACCUUGUUAAAUCCUUAAACUGCUCGGUUAUGUUUUACCCUUCUAAUUGUCUUUUUCAGGAUCUCAGCAUGAGGAAGAUGAUUGAUGGCAGUGUUAAGGUGGAUGGAGUUUACUUCCUUGCUAGUACUUCACUUAUUGCUUGUGCGAUGUUGCCAUCUUCCAUUUCACCUUAUCAGUGGCACUGUCAUCUUGGUCAUCCAUCUAUAGAAGUUCUGAAGAAUCUUGGUCUUCUCCUUAGGUCUUCGGGUAGUCUUGAAUGUGAAGCUUGCCAGUUAGGAAAGCAUCACAGAGUGUCCUUUCCUUCUUCUAUUAGUAAGCGUUGUUCUCCCUUUAUGUUAAUCCAUUCGGAUAUCUAGGGUCUAAGUCCUGUUUUGACUCGAUUAGGUUUUGGAUAUUAUGUGAUUUUUGUCGAUGAUCAUACUAGGAUGAUCUGGUUGUAUCUCCUCAAGUGUCGGUCUGAAGUCUUUUCUAUAUUUCAAAACUUUUAUCAUGAAAUAAAAACUCAGUUUUCUACAUCUAUUAAAGUUUUUAGCACAGAUAAUGCCUUUGAAUAUAUGCUGUCCAGUUUUUUAGAUUUUUGUGCUUCUCAUGGUAUAAUAUAUCAGACCUCGUGUCCUUACACCUCUCAGCAGAAUGGAGUUGCUGAAAAAAAUGUAGACAUCUUUUAGAUGUGGCAUGGACUUUUAUGUUUCAUAUGCAGGUACCUAAACCUUACUGGGGUGAUGUUGUGCUUACAGCAUGUUAUCUUAUAAAUAAGACUUCAUCAAGUAUAUUGGAUGGAAAAUCUCCAUUUUCUAUUCUCUAUUCCUCUGCGGAUCCCUUGUCACUCACCCCAUGAGUGUUUGGAUGCCUAUAUUUCGUUUAUCUCUUUGGAUCUGACAAAGACAAGUUGUCUCCUCGAUCUAUUUGUUGUAUCUUUCUAGGAUAUUCUCAUAUUCAAAAAGGAUAUUGUUGUGAUCCUCUUUCUAGACGACACUUUGUCUCUACUGAUAUCUCAUUCUUUGAAACCACUCCAUUCUUUCCCAUCUCUUCUGAGUUGUCUAGUGUUUUUCUACCACCUAUUGCUCCUCCUAGUACUUUCAUAACUCCACGUUCUAGUACUUCUACUUUUCCACAUUUGCAGGUUUACAAUCAUCGCAGAAAAAGAGCUCCGCCAUCUUUACCACCACCGACUAGGUCAUCUCCGUCUGAGAUUCCUACUGACCAUCUCCCAGAUUUAGAUUUGCCCAUUGCAUUAUGAAAGGAUAAACGAUCUUGUACAUUGCAUCCAAUAUCUACCUCCAUGACUUUUGAUUAUCUUCUACCUUCUUUUUGAUCUUUUGUUGGAUCUCUGUCUUCCAUAUCUAUUCCUAGGACCUACCAAGAGGCUUAGUCUGAUCCCAGAUGGAGACAAGCCAUGGAUGAAGAGAUGGCUGGCUGCUCUAGUCAGUCAUGGCACUUGGGAAUUAGUAUCACCAUCGUUCGGUGUUCAUCCUAUUGCAUGUCGAUGGGUCUUUACGGUCAAGUACCAACCUGAUGGCACGGUGGAGCUUUUUAAGGCUCGUCUUGUUGCUAAAAGAUGCACCCAAAUCUAUGGUGUUGACUAUUUUGAGACUUUUUCUCUAGUUGCUUGUCUCAACUCAGUCCGAAUUCUCUUCUCCAUUGCUAUUAAUCAGGGCUGGAAAAUACAUCAGAUAGAUGUAAGUAAUGCAUUUUUAUAUGGAGAUUUGUCUAAGGUUGUUUAUAUGGAGCAACCUCUGGGAUAUGUUGCCCAGGGAGAGAGUUUACAAGCUCAAAAAAGCUAUCUAUGGCUUCAAGCAGAGUCCAAGGGCCUAAUUUGACAAGUUUUGCCAAGUAGUUGGCAAAAUUGGACUUCAUUACAGCAAGUCUGAUCACUCAAUUUUUAUGAAGCAAACAUUUUUUGGGAUUGGUUGUUCUUGCUGUAUAUGUGGAUGAUAUUCUUUUGACAGGUAGUGAUUAUGAUGAGAUUGUUCGGAUCAAAGAACACUUAGAGAACCAUUUUGUCACCAAAAAUUUGGGCCAACCUUGGUAUUUCUUGGGAAUUGAAGUGGUAGAUGGGUCGCAAGGAGUGUUUCUUUCUCAAAGAAAAUAUACCACUGAUUUAUUGAUGGAAACAGGCUUGGUUGUAAACCACGUUCUACUCCUGUUGAUUCUCAAUUACCAUCAGAGAUUGAUGAUUCUGGAGAUGAUUUUGAGGAUGUCACUUGGUACUAUAGACUAGUCGGGAAGCUUAUCUAUUUGACAGUCACAUGACCUGACAUUUCCUUCACAGUGGGAGUAGUUAGUCACUAUAUGCAGAAGCCUAAGGUAUGUCAUUGGGAUGCUGUGUUAAAAAUCUUGCAUUACAUUAAGAGAGCCCCAGAGAAAGGUCUAUUGUAUAAAAGAAAUGGACAUUUUACAAAUUGAACCCUAUUCUGAUGCGGACUAUGCUGGCUUGGUGAGUGAUAGGAGAUCCACAUCAGGUUUUUGCAUCUUUGUUGGAGGAAAUCUUGUCACAUAAAAAAAUAAAAAAUAAGCAGUGGUGGCCCGUUCAAGUGCUGAGGCUGAGUAUAGAGCGAUGGCUCACACAGCUUGUGAGAUGAUGUGGGUCAAUUCUUUGUUAGGAGAACUUGGUGUAUCUUGUUUUUGAGCCUAUGGUGAUGCAUUGUGACAAUCAGUCUGCUAUAUACAUUGCAAACAAUCCUGUCUUUCAUGAAUGGACUAAACAUAUUAAGGUUGAUUGUCACUUCAUUUGGGAUGCUGUUCUGUCGGGGAAGAUUGUUACUCUCUAUACAAUGUCAGAGAAUCAGUUGGCUGAUAUCCUUACCAAGGCUCUUGGGCCUACUUAUUUUUUUUCUUUAUGUACCAAGCUAGGAAUGUUUGAUAUAUAUUCUCCAGCUUGAGGGGGAGUGUUAGAAAAGAAAUAUAGUAUGUAGUUAUAUUUUUAGUAUGGUUAUAACCAUAUAUUAAGAUCUCUCCAUAAUUUGUAUGUGUCUAAGUACAUUGUGUCUAAUAUGUGUCCAAGUACAUUGUAUCUAGUAUGUGUCCAAGUACAUUAUAUCUAGUUGCCUACAAAGGCCCUUUGAGAGGCUAAAAGAAAAUAAUAAUAAUUCCUUUCUCCUCUCUAUUGAUCACCUACCAUAGCCAAUUGUUCUCCCUAUUUUCAGUUCCUGAAAGACAAUAGGUGGGAUAAAAUGAGACAUUACAAUUCAAAUCUUUAGUGAUUGAACUAAUUGGUAGAAGAUUAGUGGGAAAAUUAGGAACAUGAAGAAUAAAGGACAAGGUCAGUGUAGGAGCACAAGGAUUAGAACCUUUUCCUGACACAGAACAAAAAGAAUCAUCUGCCAUAUGAAGUUUUAUCUCUGCCAGAAGAAGGAAAAUAUGAUAAGAACUUAUGUGAAGAACCAGUCAUAUGAUUGGAGGUACCAAAAUCUAUGACCCAAGGGUUAGACUUAUCAGACAUGGAAGCAUUAAACGUGCUAGCUGAUGUGCCUGUGUGAGGAAAAUUAGAAGUACAAGGUAAUAUGUUUGAAUCAAGCUUAGCCAUCAAAAAUCUGAGUGAUUGCAACAACUCCUUAGUGAGAUUGUUAGUGUUUGAGUCAUGGUUCACCGUACCGGGUCGAACCGCCCGGUACGGGGCUUACCGAGCUGGAUCGGUCCCUUAUCGAUCCGGUUCGGGCCUGUUUUUUGGAAAAGGACCCCGAACUGCACCGAACAGCCCGAUUCGGUGUGGUUCGGGCCCAUACCAUCCGGAAUCAGGCGGUACGGCUCGGUUCUGGACUGGUUCGGGGUGAACCGAACUGUACCGCCCAAGGGANNNNNNNNNNNNNNNNNNNNNNNNNNNNNNNNNNNNNNNNNNNNNNNNNNNNNNNNNNNNNNNNNNNNNNNNNNNNNNNNNNNNNNNNNNNNNNNNNNNNNNNNNNNNNNNNNNNNNNNNNNNNNNNNNNNNNNNNNNNNNNNNNNNNNNNNNNNNNNNNNNNNNNNNNNNNNNNNNNNNNNNNNNNNNNNNNNNNNNNNNNNNNNNNNNNNNNNNNNNNNNNNNNNNNNNNNNNNNNNNNNNNNNNNNNNNNNNNNNNNNNNNNNNNNNNNNNNNNNNNNNNNNNNNNNNNNNNNNNNNNNNNNNNNNNNNNNNNNNNNNNNNNNNNNNNNNNNNNNNNNNNNNNNNNNNNNNNNNNNNNNNNNNNNNNNNNNNNNNNNNNNNNNNNNNNNNNNNNNNNNNNNNNNNNNNNNNNNNNNNNNNNNNNNNNNNNNNNNNNNNNNNNNNNNNNNNNNNNNNNNNNNNNNNNNNNNNNNNNNNNNNNNNNNNNNNNNNNNNNNNNNNNNNNNNNNNNNNNNNNNNNNNNNNNNNNNNNNNNNNNNNNNNNNNNNNNNNNNNNNNNNNNNNNNNNNNNNNNNNNNNNNNNNNNNNNNNNNNNNNNNNNNNNNNNNNNNNNNNNNNNNNNNNNNNNNNNNNNNNNNNNNNNNNNNNNNNNNNNNNNNNNNNNNNNNNNNNNNNNNNNNNNNNNNNNNNNNNNNNNNNNNNNNNNNNNNNNNNNNNNNNNNNNNNNNNNNNNNNNNNNNNNNNNNNNNNNNNNNNNNNNNNNNNNNNNNNNNNNNNNNNNNNNNNNNNNAAAUUAAAAAUCAAAAAAAUAUUAUGUACCGGUAUCGGACCGGUACACCUAGGCAUACCGUGUGUUGGUACGGUAUGGUACCGAUAUUGUACCAUACCGGUCCGGGACCGGCAUGCCGUCCGGUACCGGUACAGCGAAUCUUGGUUUGAGUCUUCAUAUAUAUUCUCUUUCACCUCAGAUAUAUGAGCCUGUGGACGAGCAAAUCCAACUCGUUUACCACUACAUCCCCUAGCAAGACGGCCAUGUAGUUUCCAACAAGUCUCUUAGUAUGUCUUGUUCGUCUACAAUAAUCACACUUCAAUAUAUCUUUAUCAGCAGUUGCUUGUUCACUAUAAGUUUACCCCUUAGUUUCCGACUUGAAUUUACUACCAUUGCAGAUCUUUCAUGGGUACUGGUGUUCAACAUAGCUGAUCUUCUACUUUCCUCUUGCUGUACAAGAGCAUAGGUUUGUCUCAAGGAAGGAAAAAAAUCUUUUCCAAGUACCUGGUCAUACUCCACAUUGACCCUAGCCAAGAAAUCAUAAACACACUCCUGAUCAAUCAUUUUCUAGAAUUUGGCAGCAUCAUUAGGGCAAUCAGCUUGGAAAUCUUGAAAAAAAUCCAAUUCUUGCCAUAGGAUGCUAAGUUCAGCAAAAUAUUGAGCCACAGUCAUCUCUCCUUGUCUAGUCUCAUGAACCUUUUUCCCUAGUUCAUAGACUUGAGCAUCAUUGCCCAAUUGUGAGUAAGUUUGGGCAAUGGCAUUCUAGAUUUUCCAUACAAAAUCUAAGAGUAAGUACCCAUAAGCGAUGUAAGGUUGCAUAGAAUUGAUGAGCCAAGACAUAACUAAGGAAUUCUUGGAUUUCCAUUGGCCAAAAGAAGAGUCAUCAGCUGCAGGUCUCUUUUUCUUUCCAGAAAGAAAUCCAUACAUACCCUGGGCCUUGAUAAACAACAAACAAGAUCUAGACCAUGCAAGGUAAUUAUUCCCAUCUAACUUCAUAGGACUGAUUUGGAGAGAGGGGUUAUCACCAAGGGCUACAGCCCUGCUCCCACUUCCCUCACCGAGCAGUUGGAAUAACCAUCCGUACUAACUUCCGACAUGUCCCAAACACCACGGGAACAAUCAAGAAGAAAAAAAAUACUCACAAGGCCAAUCUUGACGAGUUCAGAUCAGAACCACACUCUGAUACCAAGUUAAAAAUGAGAAGAGAUAAUAGAGAGAGAGUAAGGGAGAGCAAAGAAUAUAAUCUGAGAAAGAGUGAUAGGUCUCGAAUCUUAAUUUUUUUCUGACCUAUACCUCUAUUUAUAUCGAUGUUAUUACAUAAAUGCUUACAUUACAAUUGCUGAUUUUAUUCCCCAAUUACAGCAUUGCAGAUUUUCUUCCUAAACGUAGUUUACCAAAUAUAUUGGUCAACCACUCCCUAAUUAUAGCAUGACAGAUUUUCUUUCUAAACAUAGAUCACCAAAAAUAUAUUGGUCAAGCAUUCUCUAAUUGCAACAUUGCAGAUCUUCUUGCUAAACAUAGCUUACCAAAAAUAUAUUGGUCAAUAGUUUUAAAUUAAAUAAAGUGGCUUCUAGUACAAUGAUCCUAAAACACCAGCAUCAAUUACCAAGAUUGCAUGGAGAAAGAAUAAUGUUCUACAACUCAAUUCAUGUUUUCGCAACUAGUUCUUAAGGCAAGAAGACAUCCUCGAUUUUUGGAUGAUCCCUUGACAAAACAUUUAAGCUUUCUAUGACAAUGCCAAUGUAAAUCUCCUAUAUCUUCGUAUAGAGAUUUGGUUAGUGUACUAGCUCCCAGCUCAAAAAUAAUUUGGUGAUUGGCUUUCUAUCUGAAGGAGAGACUAGUUAUUUAUUAAUGGAAUUAAAUGAGCUAAUUUCACACCAUAGUUCUUUAGAUCUGUUGAGAGGGUACAAUUAUCUGAUGUUUUUGUACUAUGCAACUUGAGGAAGCAAACAAGAUGAUGCACAAUGCAGUUAUCCAUUAUAGGAGCAUUAAUCACUCCAUGUAAAACACAUCUAUAGCAAGGUGUAACCCUUGGAACACAUGCACAUAAUAUUCAUCUCAAUGAUUGCAGAACUGUCUUGAACUACCUAAUUUGGGGCAUGUUGAAUCAUACCAGCAACACAACGGGAUGGUUCUGGUGUUCAAAAUGAGAUGCCAAUAAGAAGAGGGAAGGGAGAAGGAAAGAGGGGAAAAUAGAGAGAAAGGGGGGAGGGAAGGAGAGGGAGAGCCUCCGAAGGCCAUCGGAGGCCAGCCAAGGCUGCCGGAGGGAAGGAGAGGGAGAGGGAGUGGGAGAGAGGCUGCCGUAGGGUUGCUAUGCCUGAUGGAUGGCCAGAGGAGGCCCGAUCAAAACAGGGGCAUUCUUUUUUUUGGGGGGUGAGGGGGGGUAAUCGGGUGAAGUCUACAAUAUCAAAACAAUGGGGAAUUAAAUGAAGUUAGCAAUAGCAUUGCCGACUUCAUCCGAUAUCCCCUAAAAAAUAAUGAAAUAGGGGCUUCCGUCGUAGUUUCGAUCAAGCCUCCUCCCACCAUACAUGGGGCAUAGUGGUCCUUUGAUGGACUUGACAGGCCUUCAUAGGCUCUCUCACUCUCCCUUUACUUCCUUUCUCUUCUCUCUUUUCCUCUCUUUCCUUCUUCCUUCCCCCUCCUCACCAGCCCUCCAGGCAACAGCGGCCCUCCAGCAGCCUCCAAAGGCUCUCUCCCUCCCUUUCUCUCUCCUUUCCUCCCCCCUCUCUCUUCUCUUCUCCCAUUCUUCCUUUGCCCUACUAUGUCAGUUCAAGUAUGGCAUGGAAUGAAUGGGGGCAUACUGAACCAUACCGCUGGUCGACCAGUCUAGCCAGUAUUGGCACAGCAAACCUUGAAUCAUGUAAACAUUAUAUGUGAUCAAUUAGUCUAUGAGUGAAUAGAAUAGACUCAUUUCCAAUCUUGAAUUAGUUUGAAAUGCUUUGGAUCAAGAUAUGCUGAACCAGUACCGCCGGCCGUUUCGGCCAGCCGGCGGUACGGUUCGAUAUGGUUUCAUAUCGUACCGAACCGACGAUCCGAACCGAAAGAAAAAAGAGAGAAAUAGAGAGAGAGAAAGAGGAAGAAAAAAAAGGAGGGGAAGGAGCCGGCGG